AUACCUACGGGGGGCAGCAGUGGGGAAUAUUGCACAAUGGGGGGAACCCUGAUGCAGCGACGCCGCGUGAGGGAUGAAGGUCUUCGGAUCGUAAACCUCUGUCAGCAGGGAAGAACGGUCACUGUGCUAAUCAGCAGUGAAUUGACGGUACCUGCAAAGGAAGCACCGGCUAACUCCGUGCCAGCAGCCGCGGUAAUACGGAGGGUGCGAGCGUUAAUCGGAAUUACUGGGCGUAAAGCGCUCGUAGGCGGGAUGUCAAGUCAAGGGGGAAAUCCCCGCGCUCAACGUGGGAACUGCCGUUGAAA
Molecule: ribosomal RNA, 305 nt
Filed under: uncultured bacterium
Lineage: Bacteria
Description: bacterial SSU rRNA
Rfam family: Bacterial small subunit ribosomal RNA
Source: RNAcentral